UUUUAUGGAGAGUUUGAUCCUGGCUCAGGAUGAACGCUGGCGGCGUGCCUAAUACAUGCAAGUCGAGCGAACGGACGAGAAGCUUGCUUCUCUGAUGUUAGCGGCGGACGGGUGAGUAACACGUGGAUAACCUACCUAUAAGACUGGGAUAACUUCGGGAAACCGGAGCUAAUACCGGAUAAUAUUUUGAACCGCAUGGUUCAAAAGUGAAAGACGGUCUUGCUGUCACUUAUAGAUGGAUCCGCGCUGCAUUAGCUAGUUGGUAAGGUAACGGCUUACCAAGGCAACGAUGCAUAGCCGACCUGAGAGGGUGAUCGGCCACACUGGAACUGAGACACGGUCCAGACUCCUACGGGAGGCAGCAGUAGGGAAUCUUCCGCAAUGGGCGAAAGCCUGACGGAGCAACGCCGCGUGAGUGAUGAAGGUCUUCGGAUCGUAAAACUCUGUUAUUAGGGAAGAACAUAUGUGUAAGUAACUGUG
This 480-nucleotide ribosomal RNA is filed under the name Staphylococcus argenteus. RNAcentral's name for it is "bacterial SSU rRNA". It matches the Rfam family "Bacterial small subunit ribosomal RNA", at positions 1 to 468 of the family's 1533-position model. Lineage: Bacteria; Bacillati; Bacillota; Bacilli; Caryophanales; Staphylococcaceae. The record is from RNAcentral.